GCUGAUAAAGAAGGAAAUUCUUCUGCUAUCUCUGAGCAGAGGUGGUUGGCUGUGUUAGUCUCUGCCUAUUUUAUCUAUCUUAUCUAAAGCAGCUGUCUCUAUGGUUUGGGAUGGUGGUGGAGGAAGGGAGGAGGGGUAGCAGGCAAAGAACCUGACUCCAUUGCAAUGCGAGUGGUGGGCUACCCCAAAUCUCUUGGGAUAGAGAAGAAGCAGAUGAGCUCCAGAAAAGUCUGCUGGGAAGCAGAUGACUACAGAGCCUGGGGCAGGCAGGCAGCAGCUCCAGGCAAAUGGAUUGGAUGCCAAUCCACCCCUGCCUUCUGCGCAGCUGUCGUAGUAUCUUACUGCCUGUUGAAAAAAGAAGAUGCAGCCAUUGGCAAUCUCUGACUUCCUCAGAAAUGGACUGUUCUGUGCUCAGGUAUUAAAUAUGGGGAUGACCUGGAAGAGUCGGUCCUGCCAGAGGAGAAUUUUCUUCUCUUGUUGAAAGGAGUAUUGUGCAAAUCUUAUUCAAGAUACUGAAAAGCGUUAGUGUUCACAUAUCACAGCUGGUGUGUGCCAACUCCUCCAGGCUGUGUUUUUUUUAUUGCCCUUUACUUUCUGUACUUAAAAAGGUUAGCGCCAGGUAACAUGUUACCUUUUUGAUUGAUUUGAUUUUGAUUGAUUUGAUUUUCAUUUAGCUUGUGGUGGUAUAAAUGACUGCACAAGGUGAAGACAAUGAAUGAUCAGGUCUCUUUGGUUUUGCUUUUUGUUCCUUAACUGUGCCACAUUUGAGUCUAUUCCCCUUACCUGUUUCUUCCUCUGAUGGUAGUCUUUAACCCAGUUCUUUCAAUAUAUGGGCAAUAACAUAAGUCUCUUUUAUUUGUAUGAUAUCACUCAGGAAAGUUAGAAAAGGAAGCAUUCCAGCUCUUUAAGACUUUGAGGCCACUGGGAAUUAUCUGAGUCUAUUACAGCUGUGAAUUCAAAUUUGGCAAGCUAUUAUCAUCUAUGAUUUGUAUUACAGUCAUGCCUAGAGGCGAGAAUCUCAUUGUGCUAGGCCUUGUUGAAACUGUAACAAAGGGGCAGUCUCUGUGAUUCUGUCUCUGUACUUGAUUCAGGACUUAAAAUUUCUGCAACUGUUCAUUUAUCGAGUUUAUUAGCGGCUAUAGCACUUGAACCAUGUGGAUUCUUUGUCAAAUUUUGCACAAUCUUCUUAACACUUUCAUAUUCGAAUAGUGAUAGGUCCUAGAAACCCCCUUCAGGGAUUGUGGCCAUGUAAAAAAAGAAGGCGCUCCUUACUUUAAAGAGCGUACAGGUUUCAGUAUAAGAGAGACUACAGAUGAAUACAACAGAGGGGAG
Long non-coding RNA from Alligator sinensis (Chinese alligator), 1332 nucleotides. RefSeq lists it as uncharacterized. The record is from RefSeq and is a predicted model, not a curated record. The transcript has 3 exons. Lineage: Eukaryota; Metazoa; Chordata; Crocodylia; Alligatoridae.